ACGCUGGCGGCACGCCUAACACAUGCAAGUCGAACGAAGUAGCAAUACUUAGUGGCAGACGGGUGAGUAACAUGUAGGUAUCUACCCUUUGGCCUGGAAUAACACGAGGAAACUUGUGCUAAUACCGGAUAAGUCUUUACGGAGAAAGCUUUAUGCACCAUUGGAUGAGCCUGCACUUGAUUAGUUUGUUGGUGGGGUAAUGGCCUACCAAGACUUUGAUCAAUAGCUGAUUUGAGAGGAUGAUCAGCCACAUUGGGACUGAGACACGGCCCAAACUCCUACGGGAGGCAGCAGUGGGGAAUCUUGCACAAUGGAGGAAACUCUGAUGCAGCGAUGCCGCGUGAGUGAAGAAGGCCCUUGGGUUGUAAAGCUCUUUCGUCGGGGAAGAAAAUGACUGUACCCGAAUAAGAAGGUCCGGCUAACUUCGUGCCAGCAGCCGCGGUAAUACGAAGGGACCUAGCGUAGUUCGGAAUUACUGGGCUUAAAGAGUUCGUAGGUGGUUGAAAAAGUUGGUGGUGAAAUCCCAGAGCUUAACUCUGGAACUGCCAUCAAAACUUUUCAGCUAGAGUAUGAUAGAGGAAAGCAGAAUUUCUAGUGUAGAGGUGAAAUUCGUAGAUAUUAGAAAGAAUACCAAUUGCGAAGGCAGCUUUCUGGAUCAUUACUGACACUGAGGAACGAAAGCAUGGGUAGCGAAGAGGAUUAGAUACCCUCGUAGUCCAUGCCGUAAACGAUGUGUGUUAGACGUUGGAAAUUUAUUUUCAGUGUCGCAGCGAAAGCGAUAAACACACCGCCUGGGGAGUACGACCGCAAGGUUAAAACUCAAAUGAAUUGACGGGGACCCGCACAAGUAGUGGAGCAUGUGGUUUAAUUCGAAGAUACGCGCAGAACCUUACCAACACUUGACAUGUUCGUCGCGACUCUAAGAGAUUAGAGUUUUCGGUUCGGCCGGACGAAACACAGGUGCUGCAUGGCUGUCGUCAGCUCGUGUCGUGAGAUGUUGGGUUAAGUCCCGCAACGAGCGCAACCCUCACUUUUAGUUGCCAUCAUUAAGUUGGGCACUCUGAAAGAACUGCCAGUGAUAAGCUGGAGGAAGGUGGGGAUGACGUCAAGUCCUCAUGGCCCUUACGUGUUGGGCUACACACGUGCUACAAUGGUAUCUACAACAGGAAGCAAGACUGCGAGGUCAAGCAAAUCCUUAAAAGAUACCUCAGUUCGGAUUGCACUCUGCAACUCGAGUGCAUGAAGCUGGAAUUACUAGUAAUCGUGGAUCAGCGUGCCACGGUGAAUGCGUUCCCGGGUCUUGUACACACCGC
RNAcentral lists this ribosomal RNA (1313 nucleotides) under uncultured Alphaproteobacteria bacterium. RNAcentral describes it as "uncultured alpha proteobacterium 16S ribosomal RNA". It matches the Rfam family "Bacterial small subunit ribosomal RNA", at positions 33 to 1393 of the family's 1533-position model. The record is from RNAcentral. Lineage: Bacteria; Pseudomonadati; Pseudomonadota; Alphaproteobacteria.